This is a long non-coding RNA of Megalobrama amblycephala (Wuchang bream), 3866 nucleotides long. RefSeq lists it as uncharacterized. The record is from RefSeq and is a predicted model, not a curated record. NCBI's taxonomy places the organism in Eukaryota, Metazoa, Chordata, Actinopteri, Cypriniformes, Xenocyprididae. The transcript has 3 exons.
AAAUCUACACAUAUGAUAUACAUGAUUAUGUGUCCCUUACUGUACCAUUGGAAAAACAAAACAUGCAUUGCACACUAGAAUUAUAGAGUUUAGUUCAUGUACCUUCAGUUUGCGUUUCAUUAGUCACAUGUUAUUAUUAGAUCAAAUGUAUCAGCUGUGCUCCAUUAAUCAUUAAUUCUCAUUCCGAUCACUGUUUGUGCUAAGUGUGUUUGCUAUUGCCUGUUUGGAUUUGUUAUUAAACUUUGUCGUGUUGAACUUUAUUCAUAGUAGAGUGCUGUUGCUGUUUGGUCCAUGAACACUGAAGAAAGCCUGAGCUGAAACAUCUGCUCUUUGGUCUGUUUGUAAGACGCUUUUCACAUUUUGCACUUUUUUACUUUGCAGAUGUGAUAGACCCUUGAUUUCUUAUGCUAAUGUGAAUUGCUGGGAGUGACAUGACCUCUUUUCUAUGGGAUUGAUAGUUUACAAUCUCACCAAAUUUCUCAAACAAAAGUACUUGUCUUUGGGAACAUAAUCACUUUUCAGUUUUUUACAACAACAACAGAAAGACGUGGCUCAAGGGCAACGCUCCAGAAGCCACCAUUCAGCCUGAUCGGAUAACAUGCCACCAAGAGGAGCCUCCAGGCCCAAACCACUAGACUGAAGAACAGCUUCAUCCACCAGGCUGUCAGGGAGGGCGAGGAGAAUGAGGUGAAAGCAUGGUGGUGAGUGGACGACGAUCUCCUGGUGGCAGAGAUAGUCUGCUAGCACCGACCCCAAACCUGCGACAUGAGGGAGGCAACGUCUGGGGGACGACCGAUGGAGGCGUGGCCAAUGGAUCCACAGGUGCAGAUGGAAAGCAGACAUGAGCGACACCACUGGUACUGGAGAUCUCGGUGAUGCCGCGGUGACGACCAUCGAAGGCGAAGACAGAAUACCCGAGGAGCCGACAGGUCAACAGGCUGAGAUGGAGCGAAAAGACUGUAGGCGGGAGGUGGAGCCACAGGAUCCUCUCGCACGGGCACUGCAGGGCUGUUGACUUUCAGCAGCAGGAGGGCUGAAGGUCUGGCUGAGCUUCACGGUGAUGGUGGUAGUAAGGAACUCGACAGAGUGGCGGUUAUUAUGACACAGUCAAUAGUGCUGUUCAAAACCAGCGAUGAUGUUGAUGAAGGUACCGGGUGGGAGUUGAAAGUUCCUCACUCGUUGUCCGUUUUCAUGACUCCCUCGCCCGCUGAUGUCGAGGGCUCACACCGCUGGUCAGAUUGACGAUGGAAAUGGGAGCUUUAGCGGAAGUUCUAGCCGGAAGACUCUAAUGCACGUCAUUGCUCAUUAUCUAGCCAAUCAUUACACGUCACCUGAGUAUAUAAGUUCUGUUCCCACCCACUAUCGUGUUCACAGAUACCAUCGCCAGAGUUCAGUUCACAGUUGAUGAUGCUGACGUUCCUCACGAUGCAUGAACAGGCCUAUAAUUGUGAUUAUCUAAAUAUUCACACAGACGAUGUUAGCGGUAGUCCGAUGUACUACAAUGUGAAAAUGUUCAUUUUAGAUGGGAUAUAAUGUUUCAGUGUCAUUUGAGUUCAGGUUAGCCUAUCAUUUUGAACGUUCAUUGAAGCGGUCGCACUAUGAGAGUGAUCGUAUUCACCGUCUCAAAUUUCAGAAGUGUGCAGGUCCACCCACGGAUUCUAUUUUCGAAUUUCGUUUCAGCAAUAUCAUCAAAGGGCCUAGCUAUCAUCAAAGCAAUCUUCAAUACUCUCUCGUCAUCAUUACAACAGCCACCUCAUCUCAGUGAUAAGUAUGCUAUAUCGAGAUUGGUUUUGACGUCAUUUCCCGUUUGUUGCUGCCGCGCUGUUUGAGCCAGAGCUCCGUCGAGCUGAUUUCCUAAUUGCUUGUUUUUUCUCUUAAUAUCAAAUUUAUAACAGAUCAUUCUCUCUUUUACGCCGAGGGAACACAUCGCCUACAUUAUUUCAUAUAUAAAACACUUGGAUUGCCUUGAUAUCGCUAGUUUUAUCCGACUUCCCGAACAUUCGCUAUUAGCUUUAGCCCGCUAGCAGUAACGGCGUGGUCAUUCUAGCGUUUGUACUCUUCUCUCUCACUAUAUUAUUGUUUCAUCUACUCUAAUGGCGAGUGUAUCGGAUGUUUCUCUACCUUUGUGUGCAGGUGAGGACACGUUUGAGCUGCAUGCGGUGCAUUUGGAGCUGGAGGCCGUGGAGCGACAGAUUCGGACCCUUCUCGAGAAGCAGGCCGAGCUACACGAGCGGCAGACAGUGCUGGAAACUUCCCGUGCUGACGCUCACCGCUCCCCGGUAAGUUUACAGCGCGAUAUUAACACUCCUGCUUCCUCUACGCCGUGUGUUUCUCUGCACAGGGCCCGAGCUCCCAGAACGCGUUCAUCCCAGCCCUCGUUCACUCCGGCGCCGUCUCACCUGGGACCUUGGGUGCUUCAGCAGCGGAAGACGCGAGCCAGGCCUCGGACCAGGACCUCUCCUCCUCCGCCGCCCCCGAUCUUCGAGGUCUCGACACGACAUCGUCCGCCACGUCCACGCUACCACAGCCAAAGGUAAGGUGCGCAGUCACUGUUUUCCUGGUGCUCGUGUUCUCGAUGUCGCUGCGCAGGUUCCCGCGAUCCUCAACGGUGCUGAGACCAUCGGAGCUGUAGUGCUGCACGCGGGGGUGAACGACACCAGGCUGCGGCAGACGGAGGUGCUGAAGCAGGACUUCAGGAGCCUGAUCGAGACGGUACGAGCCUCAUCGCCCAUGACGAGGAUCAUCGUGUCCGGACCGCUUCCGACGUACCGAUGAGGACAUGAAAGGUUCAGUAGAUUAUUUGCUUUAAAUGAAUGGUUGAUGUCUUGGUGUAAUGAACAGAAGCUGCUCUUUGUAAAUAAUUGGAAUCUUUUCUGGGAGCGUCCUAGGCUCUUCCGUGCUGAUGGCCUGCACCCCAGCAGCAUCGGAGCUGAUCUUCUGUCGGAGAACAUCUCCAAGACGCUUUGCACCAUAUGACUAGUAAGUCAAACCUCAAAUCACAGUCUGUGUUCUGCCCACUUAAUUGAUAGAAAUGUGAGUGUAGUACAGUCUAUAGAAACUGUGUCUAUUCCCCGAAUAGUGAGGUCUAACAAUAAAAAUAAAUAUAGAUAUAAGUAAAAAGUCGCUACUAUCUCUUGCUUUGGCUACCGUUUAUAGACCUCCAGGGCCUUAUGCUGAUUUCCUAAAAGAGUUUGCAGACUUUCUCUUAGACCUAUUGGUCAACGUUGAUAAAGCGCUGAUUGUUGGAGAUUUUAACAUUCAUGUAGACAAUACAAAUGAUGCGUUAGGGGCUGCGUUUACAGAUUUACUAAACUCAUUUGGGGUCAAACAAAACGUCACUGGACCCACUCACCGUCUUAAUCAUACACUAGAUUUAAUUAUAUCACAUGGAAUCAAUCCAACCGAUAUAGAAAUUCUACCGCAAAGUGAUGACGUCUCUGAUCACUAUCUUGUAACAUGCGUACUGCAUGAUGAUAUUUGUCAAAUUGCGCCGCAAUAUCGACUAGGCAGAACAAUUCUCCCGACAACUAUAGAUAAAUUCACAAAUAACCUGCCUGAUCUGUCUCAGCUGCUCAUCGUACCUAAACACACACAUGAUCUCGAGAAAAUGACUAGCAGCAUGUGCACCAUUUUCACUAGUACAUUAGAUACUGUUGCACCGAUGAGAUUUAAAAAGGUUAGAGAGAAAAAUAUUGUACCAUGGUACAACAGUAUUACUCACGCUAUCAAAAGAGAAGCUCGUAAUCUAGAACGCAAAUGGAGACAAACUCGUUUAGAGGUCUUCAGAAUCGCGUGGAAAGACAGAAAACAUGGCAUUAGUUUCCACUGCUAUGCCGAUGAUACUCAGUUAUAUAUUUCAACACAAC